This 356-nucleotide ribosomal RNA is filed under the name uncultured bacterium. RNAcentral's name for it is "partial 16S ribosomal RNA". It matches the Rfam family "Bacterial small subunit ribosomal RNA", at positions 523 to 881 of the family's 1533-position model. The record is from RNAcentral.
AUACGGAAGGUCCGGGCGUUAUCCGGAUUUAUUGGGUUUAAAGGGAGCGCAGGCGGAGAUGCAAGCGUGACGUCAAAUUUCGGGGCUCAACCCCGUCUCGCGUCGCGAACUGCGUCCCUUGGUUGCGGGAAGGGGAGGCGGAACUCGUGGUGUAGCGGUGAAAUGCAUAGAUAUCACGAAGAACUCCGAUCGCGAAGGCAGCCUUCCGGCCCGUCAACGACGCUCAUGCUCGAAGGUGCGGGUAUCAAACAGGAUUAGAUACCCUGGUAGUCCGCACAGUAAACGAUGGACACCCGCGGUUUGGCCUGUAUGGCUGAGCCGCCAAGCGAAAGCGUUAAGUGUCCCACCUGGGGAGU